AUGGCUCAGUGAGGCGUUCGGACUGGCCCAGAGAGGUGGGCAACUACCACUCAGGGCCGGAAAGUUCUCCAAACUCGGUCAUUUAGAGGAAGUAAAAGUCGUAACAAGGUCUCCGUUGGUGAACCAGCGGAGGGAUCAUUA
Molecule: ribosomal RNA, 141 nt
Filed under: Fusarium sp. 16003
Lineage: Eukaryota; Fungi; Ascomycota; Sordariomycetes; Hypocreales; Nectriaceae
Also listed under: 3 other names
Description: partial 18S ribosomal RNA
Rfam family: Eukaryotic small subunit ribosomal RNA
Source: RNAcentral